RNAcentral lists this ribosomal RNA (253 nucleotides) under uncultured bacterium. RNAcentral's name for it is "partial 16S ribosomal RNA". It matches the Rfam family "Bacterial small subunit ribosomal RNA", at positions 524 to 776 of the family's 1533-position model. The record is from RNAcentral.
UACGGAGGAUGCAAGCGUUAUCCGGAAUCAUUGGGCGUAAAGAGUCCGUAGGUGGAAAAGUAAGUCUGUUGUCAAAGAACGGGGCUUAACCCCGUAAAGGCAAUGGAAACUGCAUUUCUAGAGGCAGGUAGGGGUAGAGGGAAUUUCCAGUGUAGCGGUGAAAUGCGUAGAGAUUGGAAAGAACACCAGUGGCGAAAGCGCUCUACUGGACCUGGACUGACACUGAGGGACGAAAGCUAGGGGAGCGAAAGGG